CAAGAGGUAGUUUAAUUAAAAUAUUAAUUUUGGGGAUUAAUGAUAAAAAAUUUUUUUUUCUCUUGA
This 66-nucleotide transfer RNA is filed under the name Zaphne divisa. Its description in RNAcentral is "tRNA-Pro". The record is from RNAcentral. Lineage: Eukaryota; Metazoa; Arthropoda; Insecta; Diptera; Anthomyiidae.